This 521-nucleotide ribosomal RNA is filed under the name uncultured Glomeraceae. RNAcentral describes it as "SSU rRNA". It matches the Rfam family "Eukaryotic small subunit ribosomal RNA", at positions 569 to 1092 of the family's 1831-position model. Lineage: Eukaryota; Fungi; Glomeromycota; Glomeromycetes; Glomerales; Glomeraceae. The record is from RNAcentral.
AGCAGCCGCGGUAAUUCCAGCUCCAAUAGCGUAUAUUAAAGUUGUUGCAGUUAAAAAGCUCGUAGUUGAAUUUCGGGAUCAAUAUGUUGGUCGUGCCUUGGUACGUACUGGCAUUAUCGAUUCCUACCUUCUGAAGAACCUCGAUGUCAUUAAUUUGGUGUCUUGGGAAAUCAGGACUGUUACUUUGAAAAAAUUAGAGUGUUUAAAGCAGGCUCGCGCUUGAAUACAUUAGCAUGGAAUAAUGAAAUAGGACGUUUGAUUCUAUUUUGUUGGUUUCUAGGAUCGACGUAAUGAUUAAUAGGGAUAGUUGGGGGCAUUAGUAUUCAAUUGUCAGAGGUGAAAUUCUUGGAUUUAUUGAAGACUAACUACUGCGAAAGCAUUUGCCAAGGAUGUUUUCAUUAAUCAAGAACGAAAGUUAGGGGAUCGAAGACGAUCAGAUACCGUCGUAGUCUUAACCAUAAACUAUGCCGACUAGGGAUCGGAUGAUGUUAAUUUUUUAAUGACUCAUUCGGCGCCUUACG